GAGUACUAUGGAUUAAAAAGUUUAAAACUCAAAGAGCUUGGCGGUGUUUUAGACCUCUCAGGGGAACCUGUCUCAUAAUCGACAAUCCACGUUACACCUAACCUUAUUUCGCUUUUACAGUUUGUAUACCGUCGUCGUCAGGUAACUUUUAAAAAUUUAGAAGUUAGCAAAAAAGUUAUAUAAGCUUAUACGUCAGAUCAAGGUGCAGCUUAUAUUAAGGUGAGGAUGGGUUACAAUUAUAAAAUCAUAACUACAAAGUAAUUAUAAUAAUAUAUAAUUAUAAGGAGGACUUGAAAGUAAACUAAAUUAU
RNAcentral lists this ribosomal RNA (310 nucleotides) under Nucella lapillus. RNAcentral describes it as "partial 12S ribosomal RNA". Lineage: Eukaryota; Metazoa; Mollusca; Gastropoda; Neogastropoda; Muricidae. The record is from RNAcentral.